AAAUUUAGGACCUACUAUACCAAAGAUAUCAUGCCGAGGAGAAAAAUAAGUGAUUUGCGGAUUGUUUGAGCUUCUGAAGAGCAUGAACAAGCAAAUAAUGA
Hibiscus syriacus is the source of this 101-nucleotide long non-coding RNA. RefSeq lists it as uncharacterized. The transcript has 4 exons. NCBI's taxonomy places the organism in Eukaryota, Viridiplantae, Streptophyta, Magnoliopsida, Malvales, Malvaceae. The record is from RefSeq and is a predicted model, not a curated record.